GCUUGUGUAGCUCAACGGUAGAGCCCUGCUUACUUCUAAAUUCUGAGGCAUUGGCUCAAGCGGAGAUCUGAGUUCGACUCUCAGUGCAAGCA
Molecule: non-coding RNA, 92 nt
Organism: Mycena latifolia
Lineage: Eukaryota; Fungi; Basidiomycota; Agaricomycetes; Agaricales; Mycenaceae
Source: the annotation of a GenBank genome assembly